RNAcentral lists this ribosomal RNA (758 nucleotides) under Neisseria subflava. Its description in RNAcentral is "bacterial SSU rRNA". It matches the Rfam family "Bacterial small subunit ribosomal RNA", at positions 28 to 776 of the family's 1533-position model. The record is from RNAcentral. Lineage: Bacteria; Pseudomonadati; Pseudomonadota; Betaproteobacteria; Neisseriales; Neisseriaceae.
AUUGAACGCUGGCGGCAUGCUUUACACAUGCAAGUCGGACGGCAGCACAGAGAAGCUUGCUUCUUGGGUGGCGAGUGGCGAACGGGUGAGUAAUAUAUCGGAACGUACCGAGUAAUGGGGGAUAACUAAUCGAAAGAUUAGCUAAUACCGCAUAUUCUCUGAGGAGGAAAGCAGGGGACCUUCGGGCCUUGCGUUAUUCGAGCGGCCGAUAUCUGAUUAGCUAGUUGGUGGGGUAAAGGCCUACCAAGGCGACGAUCAGUAGCGGGUCUGAGAGGAUGAUCCGCCACACUGGGACUGAGACACGGCCCAGACUCCUACGGGAGGCAGCAGUGGGGAAUUUUGGACAAUGGGCGCAAGCCUGAUCCAGCCAUGCCGCGUGUCUGAAGAAGGCCUUCGGGUUGUAAAGGACUUUUGUCAGGGAAGAAAAGGCUGUUGCUAAUAUCGACAGCUGAUGACGGUACCUGAAGAAUAAGCACCGGCUAACUACGUGCCAGCAGCCGCGGUAAUGCGUAGGUCCCGAGCGUUGUCCGGAUUUAUUGGGCGUAAAGCGAGCGCAGGCGGUUAGAUAAGUCUGAAGUUAAAGGCUGUGGCUUAACCAUAGUACGCUUUGGAAACUGUUUAACUUGAGUGCAAGAGGGGAGAGUGGAAUUCCAUGUGUAGCGGUGAAAUGCGUAGAUAUAUGGAGGAACACCGGUGGCGAAAGCGGCUCUCUGGCUUGUAACUGACGCUGAGGCUCGAAAGCGUGGGGAGCAAACAGG